Molecule: ribosomal RNA, 583 nt
Rfam family: Bacterial large subunit ribosomal RNA
Source: Rfam
CCAUUUAAAGAGUGCGUAAUAGCUCACUGGUCGAGUGACUCUGCGCCGAAAAUGUACCGGGGCUAAACGUAUCACCGAAGCUGUGGGUGGACAUCUUGCGAUGUCCGCGGUAGGAGAGCGUUCUAAGGGCGUUGAAGCCAGACCGUAAGGACUGGUGGAGCGCUUAGAAGUGAGAAUGCCGGUAUGAGUAGCGAAAGAUGGGUGAGAAUCCCAUCCACCGUAUGCCUAAGGUUUCCUGAGGAAGGCUCGUCCUCUCAGGGUUAGUCGGGACCUAAGCCGAGGCCGAAAGGCGUAGGCGAUGGACAACAGGUUGAUAUUCCUGUACCACCUCUUCAUCAUUUGAGCAAUGGGGGGACGCAGGAGGAUAGGGUAAGCGCGCUGCUGGAAUAGCGCGUCCAAGCAGUUAGGCUGGGAAAUAGGCAAAUCCGUUUCCCGUGAAGGCUGAGCUGUGACGGCCAGGGAAAUAUAGUACCGAAGUUCCUGAUUCCACACUGCCAAGAAAAGCCUCUAGCGAGAUGAAAGGUGCCCGUACCGCAAACCGACACAGGUAGGCGAGGAGAGAAUCCUAAGGUGAGCGAGAGAA